RNAcentral lists this ribosomal RNA (369 nucleotides) under Artemia sinica. Its description in RNAcentral is "partial 12S ribosomal RNA". It matches the Rfam family "Eukaryotic small subunit ribosomal RNA", at positions 1141 to 1825 of the family's 1831-position model. Lineage: Eukaryota; Metazoa; Arthropoda; Branchiopoda; Anostraca; Artemiidae. The record is from RNAcentral.
AACCUAAAGAAUUUGGCGGUUUCUAAACUUACUAGAGGAACCUGUCCCGUAAACGACAAUCCACGAAAAAAUCAACCCAAACUUGUUAUUCAGCUUAUAUACCGUCGUUUAGGGGAUUAAACAAAUAGAUCUCCUUAAGAGCUUAGGCUAAUAAAUCAGAUCAAGGUGUAGCUUAUGUUUGGGUGAGGAUGGGUUACAAUGAAAAUUCAUACGGAACCUUUAUAUUACUGCAAAGGAGAAGGUGGAUUUAGAAGUAAGACCUAACACACUGAAGAAAGCCCUGAGAAAUGUACACAUCGCCCGUCGCUCUCUUGUCCGAAGAGAUAAGUCGUAACAAAGUAGGUGUAUCGGAAGGUUCAUCUUGAAAGA